Molecule: ribosomal RNA, 119 nt
Filed under: Pteropus alecto (black flying fox)
Lineage: Eukaryota; Metazoa; Chordata; Mammalia; Chiroptera; Pteropodidae
Source: RNAcentral
GUCUAUGGCCAUGCCACCCUGAACAAGCCCAAUCUUGUCUGAUCUCGGAAGCUAAGCAGGGUUGGGCCUGGUUAGUACUUGGAUGGGAGACCACCUAGGAAGACCAGGUGUUGUAGGCU